RNAcentral lists this ribosomal RNA (253 nucleotides) under uncultured bacterium. RNAcentral's name for it is "partial 16S ribosomal RNA". It matches the Rfam family "Bacterial small subunit ribosomal RNA", at positions 524 to 776 of the family's 1533-position model. The record is from RNAcentral. RNAcentral also lists the same sequence under 1 other name.
UACGGAGGAUGCAAGCGUUAUCCGGAUUUAUUGGGCGUAAAGCGUCCGCAGGUGGUUUUCCAAGUCUGCUGUUAAAGCGCGAGGCUUAACCUCGUACAGGCAGUGGAAACUGGAUGACUAGAGUAUGGUAGGGGUAGCGGGAAUUCCCAGUGUAGCGGUGAAAUGCGUAGAUAUUGGGAAGAACACCAGCGGCGAAAGCGCGCUACUGGGCCAUUACUGACACUCAUGGACGAAAGCUAGGGGAGCGAAAGGG